UUACCUCUAUCACUAUUUUUGUCAUUUUGCAUGAAUCUUUGCAUGAUUUGUAGAUUUACAUGCCAUUUUUGUAUGAAUCAGUUCGUGGAGUACAGUAAGAUGAUAUACUUGGAUGGGGAUAUUCAAGUCUACGAUAACAUUGACCACCUCUUUGAGCUACCAGACGGACAUUUCUAUGCAGUGAUGGACUGUUUCUGUGAGAAAACAUGGAGUCACACGCCACAGUACAAGAUUGGAUACUGCCAACAGUGUCCGGAAAAGGUUCAGUGGCCAGCGGAGCUGGGUCAGCCGCCUUCACUUUACUUCAACGCAGGCAUGUUCGUGUUUGAGCCCAGCCUCUCCACCUAUGAAGAUCUCUUGGAAACCCUCAGGAUCACCCCUGCAACCCCUUUUGCAGAGCAGGUAAACACAUAAGCUUUUGCUGAUGAUAUUCUUCCAACAUAAUCCGGUUGUGGUUCUGGGAUUUUGUUAUUUAGGAAAAUGUGUAUGUGUUUUUGGCAGGAUUUCUUGAAUAUGUACUUCAGCGAUGUAUAUAAGCCUAUUCCUCUGGUCUACAAUCUUGUCCUUGCCAUGCUGUGGCGGCAUCCUGAGAAUGUAGAGCUUGAUAAAGUGAAAGUUGUUCACUACUGUGCAGCGGUGAGUACCAAAGAAGAUUGAUUUUGGGAGAUUAAUUCGCAAGUUAUAACCUGUGGUGGUUAUGUAUACUAAUACAAAUAUUUGUGAACGGUAUACCAGGGGUCGAAGCCAUGGAGGUACACAGGGAAGGAGGACAACAUGCAGAGAGAGGACAUUAAGAUGCUGGUAAACAAAUGGUGGGAGAUAUACAAUGACAAGUCAUUGGAUUACAAGAAGACGAGGAUGAUGGCGAAUGAUUACAGCAGUGUUUUGCCGGGGGAGCAGGUGAAUUUGGAGCCGUUCAUUGCAGCUCUUUCCGAGGUGGGGCAUGUUGAAUUUGUGAGAGCCCCUUCAGCAGCCUAGAAGAGGCCAGUACUCUCGUGGAGAAGAGGAUCCAAGGGGCAUGCAAGCAGAUGACCGGUGAAUUUCCAUUUUCGAGAUGAAAAUGUUGGUUAUUUUUGUGGUUUGGGGGUUUGUCACGGUUAGUGAAUUUUUACGUUGUUCACUUGUAAUAUCCUUAAUGAUUGCCCACUACAAGGCAAAUUACUUCCAGUCAUACAUAAAAUCUCAAAGACACUCUGUUUUAUCUGCUGUUGAACUCUGUUUUUUUUUUUUUUUUUGCUCUUUUUCUCCCUCCUUUUUCUUUUUAUUUAUUUAUUUUCUUUGGGAAAUGGAAUUGAAAUACGUGGGACAAGAAUCGUAUAGGCUUAUUUGAGACAACAAAACAUCCACCCAGUCCCAGUCGCGGACCUGUUAUGGUGAAGGCAAGUUGAUUAAGGACGGUACAGCAGGGCACUUAAUUAUGGCUAGGUUAUAUCCCAACUUGUGGGUAGAAAAAAAAGGGUAAUAUUAAAAUGAGAACCAAUUUAAAAAGCAUUUUUGAAUUUAAUUUAAUUUUAAUUUAUUUGUUAUUUAUAAUUUUGAAGUUAAUUUUAACUUAUUUAUUAAGAGGAAAAAUUAUACUUAUAAGAAGGAUUAAAUGUACAUAAAAAAAAAUAUUCGUAUGUGAAAAGAAAAGAAAUAUUGAAAAAUAGUAAGAAAACUUUAUUUUAGGCAUAACUAAUGAUUGGUUGAAAGUUUUCAUUAUCAUUCUCAUUUGACAUUUCUUUUUACCAUAUAAGUGAUUUGAUUUGAAUGGAAAGUUGGAUACUAGAUCUUUAAGGAUAAGGAAGGAGAUUAAUUUAAUCAGAUUUCUUUUUAUCUCUUUUACUUUUUUAAAUUAAAAGAAAAUAAAAAAAAUAGAGAGAAAAAAAUAAAAGAAAUAAAAAAUAGAUUUAAAAUUAAUAAAUUAUUUUUAUAUAUAUUUUAAAACUCAUUUCACUUAUUUCCUAUAUAAUUUUAAAAUAUAUAAAUUAUUAAUUAAUUUUAAUUAUAUUUAUUUUUUUUAUAAUGAAACUAAAAAUUAAAAAAAAUAUUAUAUAUAAGGGUGGAGGUUAAUUUAAUUACAUCUUUUCUUAAUUUAUUUUAAAUUUUUAUCUGCUUAGUUUUAAUAUUGAGGGAAAAUACUAAAAAAAGAAAAGAAAAAAUAAAAAAAUAAAAAAGAAAAUUAGAAAAUAAUUUUAAAAUUAAUAAAUUAUUUUUAUGUGUUUUUUCAAAGUUAUUUCACAUGUUUCUCUAUGUAAUAUAAGGAUUAAAUAAAUUUUAAAUAUUUUAAAUUUAAUUAUAAUUGAUUUUUUUAUAUAACAAAAUUAAAUAUAAAAAAUCAUUUUUCUUAAUAUUUUAUUUUAUUUUUAUUGUUUUUUGUUUAGUAUGCAGAAGCUCUCAUUCCACUUGUGUCGGCAAAAACAUCAUUGUAAAUAUAUUAAAAGAAAAACAUAAAAAAUAAAGCAAAUCACGUAAAAGGUACACAAAGUUUUAAUAUGAUUUGAUCAAUUAUGACUAUUUUCACCAAUGAGAAAGAACAUUUUAUCAUAUGAUAGAAAAUAUUAUAAAGAACAAAAAUCUAAAAAAAUACAAUUACGAGAUCUCUAUCUUAAAAUAUGAGCCGUUUUACUUCAUUAAAUGUUUUUUUUUUUCAUCACAUUUACUUCCCAGUAAACCCCCUUUCUCUACUAGAUGUAUGUCGUUCUUUCUCAUAUUUUUAUUCCAUCUCUCUCAUAACUUUUUUUUAAAAUAAAAUAUUUAUAAAGAUAUUUCUAUUAACUUCGUAAGAAUCUAAUUAUUAUCACAUAUAAAUUAAAAAAUAUUAUAUAUAAUAUUUCUUUUACAAAUAUAUUCCCCAUCACUUUCCCGCCAAACAUAGGAUAAAUGAUGCUCUUUAUGUCCUAAUCUUUCCAAACUUUCAAGUAUUCUUUUACUUAGAAAUUACAAAUUUGAUACAAAUUGGGCCACCAUUUGAGAGUCCAAUCCCUCCAGCCAGAUUUAUAGGUGAGUUUAACUUGAAUUGAAGAAGUAGGAAUGUAAAAAUACUGGGAUUGACAUGAAUUCAAGAUCAGAAAACCCCCGAAAGCCAAAUCCAGCACAUUAUUGAUUUAUUUUUAUUUUAUUAUAAUAUAAAAAACAUAAAUUAUAAAAAAACAUAAAUUAUAAAAAAACACUAACUUUCUUAAUUUUUAAUUACAUUUUAAUUAUUAAAAUAUCUUUAAUAGUUAUAGUUAAAGUUUGAGCUUAUGAAUAAUUAUUUAUGUUAAAAUAAUAAUUAAUAAUUUACAGUUUUGACACCUUUUUGUUUUUUGACUUGAAGAAAAAAAAUAGUAGUAACUUAUAUAAAAAAUGAAAAAUUUUAUUAAAAAAAAUUAAACUUAUUUCAUGUCUUUAAAAAAUUACUUUUAGAAAUGUAAGUUAAAUAGAUUUUAAAAACUAUAAUUUUUCUUUAAUAUAAGUUGUUAUUUUUUAUAGGUUGAAUAUAACAUGAAAUAGGACAAGAUAAUAUAUCAUAUCUCAUUUUUUAUUGGUAAUAUUAGGGGUGCAACUUGUACGGGUUGGUUUGACCCAAUUGGAACCCAAUCCAAUGUUUGGGUGAACUUAGGCAAAUAUUUCCAUUACUUGAGUUAAACUUGAAUUAAGUUUUUUCAACUCGAAUUCAAUUUGAAUUGGAUCCAAGCUAAGGUUUAAAAAACUCGAGGAUAACUCGAACUUGAUUUAAUAUUUUUAUGAUAUUUAUAAUGUUAAUGUUUAUUAUUUUAAAUGAUAAUAUUCAUUUUCUUUUUAAUUUUGGAAGAAAAAAAUAUCAAAUUAUAAUUAUAUCACACAGUUAUUACUUUUUAAAAAAGAUAUAUAAGUUUAUUUUUACUUUUUUUUAUUAUCUUGAAAUUUUGUGCUAUUUAUUAUUUAAAUUUUGAUAUAAAUAUAUAGAAAAUAAGUUUUUUUAAAAACUAUUAUAGAUGAAUUUUAAAUCUUUCAGCACAAUGAAUCCAAAUAAUUUGAGUCUAACUCAAUCAACUCGAGUUUAACCCAAUCAACUCGAUCAACUUGAGAUCAACUUGAAUUUAGAAAAUAAGGUUAGGCUAGGCUUGGGUUAAGUACUUUGGGUUAGAGGACGAGUUAUGUUAACCUUAACUUGAUUCUUUCUUAAUUUGUGUUGGAUUUGAGUUAGCUAUUAACUCAACCAACUCGCCCAAGUUGCCAUCCAAGUUGCAGCCCCAAGUAAUAUUUUAGGAUAAGUUAUCUUAUCAUAUUUCAUAUAUUAUAUCUUAUAUUUAACAAAAUAGGAUAUUUAACAAAAUAUGCGUUUGGUAUAAAAUAGGUAGUAAGAUACUUUGGUAUAAAAUAGGUAGUAAGAUACUAAGAUAAAAUGUCUUUUUUCUCUUUUUAUUUUUUUUCUUUUAUACAUAUUAAUUUUAAAUAAUACUCUUUAUUUAUUUAUUAUAAUAUCUAAUGGACACUACAAAACGUUGUAUAGAUCACCUAGUAAAAUGAAAAUAUUAAAUCAAAUUAAAAGUGUGUUCAACUAUUAUUUUAGAAAGUAUUUCUAAUUUUUCUAAGAUUUCAGUAUUAAAUAUAUUAGAAGCAUUUCUUAAAAUCAUUGUGAAAUAAACUCUAAUUUAUAUAUUUAAAAAUCACUUUUAUAAAUUUUAAAAUUUAAGUUACUAAAAUUCUUUUGAUGUCUUAAUUUUUUAAAUAAUUUUUAAAACUUUUAUUUAUUUUUAAAUAAAAGGAAAUCUAUUAGUUUUUGGAUCUUCCCAUAUUGUUUACCAUUAACAGCCAUGAGGCGUUACCUCUUUUUUUUUUUUUUUUUAAUCGUGAAGUUCGAUUGACGUGUAAUUCUGCUUAAAAUAAAUUAAGUGUAUGUUUAACAAAAAAUUUUAAAAGUAUUUUUAAUUUAAAAGGUAUUUAAAAAAAAACAUAAGAUGAAAUUACUUAUAAUGUUAUUUGGUGAAACAUUUUAUAGAUAUAUUCUUUUAAAAAAUAUUAAGAAAAUACUUUCAUUUUAAAACAUGGAGAACAUUCUUAAAUGUGCUUUAUUUAAUUUCUAUUUUUUAAAAAAUUAAAAUUUAUUUUUUAAAUAAAAAUAGGAGAAUCCGACAUUUUUAUUAGCUAUAGAAUACUCUUUUUGUAAUAGAAAUGAUAAUAAGAUGAGUUUUUCUUUUGUUUUUCUUUUAUUUUUUAUUUUAUCUAUCCUGCCCUAAUGGAACAUGUUUAAAAUUUAAAUAAAUAAGUUGGAAAUAAGUUUGAGAUUUUUUAAAAAAUAUAUAACAGAUUUGGGUGUUAAGUCCUUAUACUCAUAUUAUGUACAAAAUUAAUUUACUUUAAUUUUAAAUUUUUUAUUUUUAAUAUGUAACAAUAAUAAAAAAUAUUUUUUAAUAUAAUAAAUUAUAAAAAAUUAUAGUAUUUUAAUUAUUUAUAAAAUAUAUUUAUUUUAAUAUAAUAAAAAAAAAGUUAGAUUGAAUGGGCGAGGCAAGAUAAGUAUAAGAAAUUUGCGUACCAUUAAGACUCUCUUCCACAUGCCACGUCUCCAGAACCUUCCCGGUGACACUGCACAACCGUUGGAUCAUACCUGAGGCACGUGUCAGCAGGCAACCCAAGAUCACAUGACCUAUGAAGUUACCAAAUUAUGCUCACCCUCUUCAAUUUUAAAUAUCAUUUAUCGCUUAUUUAAGCCACAAACGCGCCAUCGGCAUCCUCAAUUAAGAAGGAAAGACAACCCAGAGUCAGAUUCUCCAGCCUCAGCUCUCUCUAGAACCGUCGUCUCUCUUCCUUCCCAUCCACUCUAGCACAUUCUCGCUCACAUGGCUCCUGAAAUCAUCUCCGCUUCGGGAAAACCGUCCGGAUUUUUGAAACCGGCUAGUCUUCCGGACAGAGCAUACGUGGCCUUCUUGGCCGGUAACGGGGACUACGUGAAAGGUGUUGUUGGGUUAGCCAAGGGGCUGCGGAAGGUGAAAUCCGAUUACCCGCUUGUGGUGGCGGUGUUACCGGACGUGCCGGUGGAGCACAGCCGAGAACUGGAAUCCCAGGGGUGCAUCGUCAGAGAGAUUGUGCCGGUUUACAAGAACCAGACCCAGUUCGCCAUGGCCUAUUACGUUAUCAAUUAUUCAAAGAUCCGUAUCUGGGAGGUACGUGAUAGUACUUUCUCAUUACCUCUAUCACUAUUUUUGUCAUUUUGCAUGAAUCUUUGCAUGAUUUGUAGAUUUACAUGCCAUUUUUGUAUGAAUCAGUUCGUGGAGUACAGUAAGAUGAUAUACUUGGAUGGGGAUAUUCAAGUCUACGAUAACAUUGACCACCUCUUUGAGCUACCAGACGGACAUUUCUAUGCAGUGAUGGACUGUUUCUGUGAGAAAACAUGGAGUCACACGCCACAGUACAAGAUUGGAGACUGCCAACAGUGUCCGGAAAAGGUUCAGUGGCCGGCGGAGCUGGGUCAGCCGCCUUCACUUUACUUCAACGCAGGCAUGUUUGUGUUUGAGCCCAGCCUCUCCACCUAUGAAGAUCUCUGGGAAACCCUCAGGAUCACCCCUGCAACCCCUUUUGCAGAGCAGGUAAACACAUAAGCUUUUGCUGAUGAUAUUCUUCCAACAUAAUCCGGUUGUGGUUCUGGGAUUUUGUUAUUUAGGAAAAUGUGUAUGUGUUUUUGGCAGGAUUUCUUGAAUAUGUACUUCAGGGAUGUAUAUAAGCCUAUUCCUCUGGUCUACAAUCUUGUCCUUGCCAUGCUGUGGCGGCAUCCUGAGAAUGUAGAGCUUGAUAAAGUGAAAGUUGUUCACUACUGUGCAGCGGUGAGUACCACAGAAGAUUGAUUUUGGGAGAUUAAUUCGUAAGUUAUAACCUGUGGUGGUUAUGUAUACUAAUACAAAUAUUAGUGAAUGGUAUACCAGGGGUCGAAGCCAUGGAGGUACACAGGGAAGGAGGACAACAUGCAGAGAGAGGACAUUAAGAUGCUGGUAAACAAAUGGUGGGAGAUAUACAAUGACAAGUCAUUGGAUUACAAGAAGACGAGGAUGAUGGCGAAUGAUUACAGCAGCGUUUUGCCGGGGGAGCAGGUGAAUUUGGAGCCUUUCAUUGCAGCUCUUUCCGAGGUGGGGCAUGUUGAAUUUGUGAGAGCCCCUUCAGCAGCCUAGAAGAGGCCAGUACUCUCGUGGAGAAGAGGAUCCAAGGGGCAUGCAAUCAGA
Molecule: long non-coding RNA, 7157 nt
Filed under: Vitis vinifera (wine grape)
Lineage: Eukaryota; Viridiplantae; Streptophyta; Magnoliopsida; Vitales; Vitaceae
Description: long non-coding RNA (VVIN_LNC002074)
Source: RNAcentral